Molecule: ribosomal RNA, 253 nt
Filed under: uncultured prokaryote
Description: partial 16S ribosomal RNA
Rfam family: Bacterial small subunit ribosomal RNA
Source: RNAcentral
ACGGAGGAUGCAAGCGUUAUCCGGAAUUAUUGGGCGUAAAGCGUCCGCAGGUGGCCUAUCAAGUCUGCUGUCAAAGACCGGGGCUUAACCCCAGAAAGGCAGUGGAAACUGAGAGGCUAGAGUAUGGUAGGGGCAGAGGGAAUUCCCAGUGUAGCGGUGAAAUGCGUAGAGAUUGGGAAGAACACCGGUGGCGAGAGCGCUCUGCUGGGCCAUUACUGACACUCAGGGACGAAAGCUAGGGGAGCGAAUGGGA